Molecule: non-coding RNA, 2369 nt
Organism: Anas platyrhynchos (mallard)
Lineage: Eukaryota; Metazoa; Chordata; Aves; Anseriformes; Anatidae
Source: RefSeq, a predicted model, not a curated record
AGCAAGCUCAGGGCACUACAAAAUUCAGUAUCUGCAUCGUGGUUUCAUUGCUUGCAAAAGGGGUACUAUAUUGUUUCCCCAUCUCAGAUGCCACCAUGAAGAUUUACUGUUUCUUAUUCAGUGAUUUGGAUAUGGGAAAAAAAAAGAUUUUAAUGUUAACAAGUCACAACUCUGAAGUCUACAUUGCUUUCCGCAUAGAUGUAGGUGUGAAACUGGGGGAGAGGAUAAAAAUUGAGGAGAAUCCAAACAGCUGAGGAAAUUAAAUCCUUUUCUUAUGCAAACAAGAGAAAUCAGAUUGAAAAUGUUUUCAGCUAAAGCCCAAGAGCCACAGAAAAUAACACUGCAGAUGCUGCGGCCAUCAAGUGAGCUGAUCCUUAGACAAAGCAUGGCUUUGGGGAGACCCAAUCUGUACAGAUAGUACCAGUCUGGUGGUGAAACGCAGCACUUAAAUUUCCCAAAAGCUUUCAAGGGAAGAAAGUACAAAUCAUGUGAUGUCCCUGGAUAAACUUGCAGCAGAAGUGACAGUCUGAUCCUACUGGCCAUGCUGCUUAAAAGGAAAUAGAACAUAAGUCCAGUAUAAGAAAGAAACUGAUCAUGCAGCAUGCCUGAAACUAAGUAGAUCUGCACACCACAGAGAUGGAUGUGUCCCAAGGAAAGAAGAAAUAUUUACUGAGGUCUGAACAAAGCUGGAGCAAAGUUCUUUUUCUAAGUACUGAUGCUGUGCUAAACUGUUCGUUUCAUUUAUAAACGGGGCCAGUUGCAAAGCCAACGACAGCGAGCUAAAGGAAAAGUCAAUGUCUCAGGCCAGAAACCUAACUGAUAUAUACAAAAGACAAAACAGAAAACUGGUGUCCAAACUGGGAGAUCCUCCUCACCUUUCUUCUCCAACUGCCUUGUCUAAUUUAGGUCCUCUGGACUCACUCCAUGUCCCUCGUGUACUGGGGAGCCCAGAACUGGACACAGUACUAUAGGUGUGGCCUCGCCAGGGCUGAGUAGAGGGGGAGGAUCACCUCCCUUGACCUGCUGGCAACAAUCUUCUGAAUGCACGCAAGGAUACUGAGCCAGGGCAGGUUGCUGGCUCAUGGGCUGGCUGCUGGCCACCAGGACUCCAAGGUCCCUCUGCAGAGCUACUUUCAGGCAGGUUACCUCCUGACCUGUAUGGGUGUUUGGGGUUGUUCCUUGGGGUGAAGGAUCCUGAAUUUGCCUUUGUUGAACUUCAUGGGUUUCCUUACCAGCCAACUCUCCAGCCUAUCCCUUAUUAUUGCACCCCUGCCUGGAAAUACAAAAAUUUGGACUCAGCCUCCAGUGGUCCAGCUUCCCUAGCUGCUUGUGGGGUGCUUUUUUGAAAAGUCAAAGGACCCUAAAUGUCAAAGUGGGAAUUUUUAACCAAGCUCUAGCUUGGUGCUCUGUAAGGAGAAGUCAAAGCUACCCAGCUCUUUCUCUGCUGCUCAGCAGCAGCAUCUCAAAGCGAUAAAGCUGUCCAGAGAGCCAAGAGAGGAAUUGAAGACCAAGACAAUCCCACUUUGUUCCUCAUCAUCCCAUACCUGGAACAAAUACGAUUUCUGGGGGGAUUACAGGGUUGAAUUGACUCUAGUUCUGCCUCAUCAACUUUUUAUCCAGGCUCUCACCUCCUUAGGAAAUGCAUAAAGCCAUUAGCAUUUGCCACAAAUAAGGACCCCAUUACAAAGCUGAAGGGUAUGAUCAUUGGAAAAGCUGAUUCACAAAAUUUCCAUGCAGGGUCCUAAAAAGAAUUCCAUAAUCCAGAAUUUCACUUUUUCUCAGUUCUGUAAGAAGUGAAGGGUUCGAAGUACCAAAUCUAAUAUUUACAGUAUAGGAAUUAUUAACCAGGACAGACACUGAUAGCAAAAUUUUAAUUUUCAAAAACAUAAAAUAAAAAAAAUAAAUAGGAGUAAAUGGAGGCAUGCUGGCAAGUUUUGCGCUGUGGGAGCUUUUUGAAGGUGAAUAUUACCCAGCAGGGAAGGGCCUGAAUCGAUCCUGCUGUUUUCCCUACGGGUUGCUCUGUUCAAAUACAGGCAACACGGAAGAACUUUGGAGAAGAAUGUAUAAUUUGCCAACAGAUCUAAUAAAAUAUGAAAAGCUGAGUCCACAGGGGAUAUGUGAUCAGAUAUCUGUGUUUCAGGCAAAGUUGUUUUCCAGGACAACUUCAAGACAGAAGUAAAUUUCAACUUCACAUAAUUUGUGAACUUUAUAGAGCAUGUCUAGAAUUUUUAUCUUAGAUAUAAGUGUACAAAUAUGUGUAGAAAUAAACCAUAGAAUGGCUUAGGUUGGAAGGGACCUUAAAGAUCAUAUUAAUCUAACCCCCCUGCCAUAGACAGGGAUACCACCCACUACAUCAGAUUAGCCAAGGC